This 361-nucleotide ribosomal RNA is filed under the name uncultured fungus. RNAcentral describes it as "eukaryotic LSU rRNA". It matches the Rfam family "Eukaryotic large subunit ribosomal RNA", at positions 40 to 398 of the family's 3401-position model. Lineage: Eukaryota; Fungi. The record is from RNAcentral.
AUAUCAAUAAGCGGAGGAAAAGAAACUAACAAGGAUUCCCUCAGUAACGGCGAGUGAAGUGGGAAGAGCUCAAAUUUGUAAUCUGGCACUUUCAGUGUCCGAGUUGUAAUCUCGAGAAGUGUUUUCCGUGCUAGACCGUAUUUAAGUCUGUUGGUAUACAGCGUCAUAGUGGUGAGAACCCAGUAUAUGUUACGGAUGCCUAGUACUUUGUGAUACACUUUCAAAGAGUCGAGUUGUUUGGGAAUGCAGCUCAAAAUGGGUGGUAAAUUCCAUCUAAAGCUAAAUAUUGGCGAGAGACCGAUAGCGAACAAGUACCGUGAGGGAAAGAUGAAAAGCACUUUGGAAAGAGAGUUAACAGUAC